CUGGCGGCAGGCCUAACACAUGCAAGUCGAGCGGCAGCGGGAAAGUAGCUUGCUACUUUUGCCGGCGAGCGGCGGACGGGUGAGUAAUGCCUGGGAAAUUGCCCAGUCGAGGGGGAUAACAGUUGGAAACGACUGCUAAUACCGCAUACGCCCUACGGGGGAAAGCAGGGGACCUUCGGGCCUUGCGCGAUUGGAUAUGCCCAGGUGGGAUUAGCUAGUUGGUGAGGUAAUGGCUCACCAAGGCGACGAUCCCUAGCUGGUCUGAGAGGACGAUCAGCCACACUGGAACUGAGACACGGUCCAGACUCCUACGGGAGGCAGCAGUGGGGAAUAUUGCACAAUGGGGGAAACCCUGAUGCAGCCAUGCCGCGUGUGUGAAGAAGGCCUUCGGGUUGUAAAGCACUUUCAGCGAGGAGGAAAGGUUGAUGCCUAAUACGUAUCAACUGUGACGUUACUCGCAGAAGAAGCACCGGCUAACUCCGUGCCAGCAGCCGCGGUAAUACGGAGGGUGCAAGCGUUAAUCGGAAUUACUGGGCGUAAAGCGCACGCAGGCG
RNAcentral lists this ribosomal RNA (554 nucleotides) under uncultured bacterium. Its description in RNAcentral is "bacterial SSU rRNA". It matches the Rfam family "Bacterial small subunit ribosomal RNA", at positions 36 to 577 of the family's 1533-position model. The record is from RNAcentral.